RNAcentral lists this ribosomal RNA (406 nucleotides) under uncultured bacterium. RNAcentral describes it as "partial 16S ribosomal RNA". It matches the Rfam family "Bacterial small subunit ribosomal RNA", at positions 28 to 526 of the family's 1533-position model. The record is from RNAcentral.
GACGAACGCUGGCGGCGUGCCUAAUACAUGCAAGUAGAACGCACUUGCGAACGAGUGAGUAACGCGUAGGUAACUGCCUCAUAGCGUGGGAUAACUAUUGGAAACCAUAUCUAAUACCGCAUACUGUGAGAUGAACCUCCGGUGUAUUAGCUAGUUGGUGAGGUAAAGGCUCACCAAGGCGACGAUACAUAGCCGGCCUGAGAGGGUGAAUGGCCAAAAUGGGAAUGAGACAGGGCCCGAACCCUUACGGGAGGAGCAGUAGGGAAAGAUCGGAAAAUGGCCGAAGUCUGACCGAGCAAAGGCGGGGGAGUGGAGAAGGUUUUCGGGUCGUAAAAGUAUGUUAAUAGAGAAGCGGUACCUAAAGAGAAAGGGACGGCUAACUACGUGCCAGCAGCCGCGGUAAUUC